This 460-nucleotide ribosomal RNA is filed under the name uncultured bacterium. Its description in RNAcentral is "partial 16S ribosomal RNA". It matches the Rfam family "Bacterial small subunit ribosomal RNA", at positions 338 to 795 of the family's 1533-position model. The record is from RNAcentral.
CCUACGGGAGGCAGCAGUGAGGAAUAUUGGUCAAUGGGCGCUAGCCUGAACCAGCCAAGUAGCGUGAAGGAUGACUGCCCUAUGGGUUGUAAACUUCUUUUAUAUGGGAAUAAAGUGCAGUAUGUAUACUGCUUUGCAUGUACCUUAUGAAUAAGGAUCGGCUAACUCCGUGCCAGCAGCCGCGGUAAUACGGAGGAUCCGAGCGUUAUCCGGAUUUAUUGGGUUUAAAGGGAGCGUAGGCGGGUUGUUAAGUCAGUUGUGAAAGUUUGCGGCUCAACCGUAAAAUUGCAGUUGAUACUGGCAUCCUUGAGUACAGUAGAGGUAGGCGGAAUUCGUGGUGUAGCGGUGAAAUGCUUAGAUAUCACGAAGAACUCCGAUUGCGAAGGCAGCCUGCUGGACUGUAACUGACGCUGAUGCUCGAAAGCGUGGGUAGCAAACAGGAUUAGAUACCCGUGUAGUC